UAACAGUAAGGGGGCAUUACGAGGUACAUGGUGAAAGUAUCAGCGUGGAAUCAUCACCUAGUGUGCCAGUAAUGAACAAUUUUACCCGGUUUUCCUUCCACCGCCCACCCAGCGCUGCUGCGGCUUCUGCUACAAGAGCAACUGCAAGUCCAAGACCUACCGUGGCAAAAGCAUUCCAAAGGAACAUCUUCAUUGGUGAGCUUGUGGAUGGCAAGUUGGAGACAAGCAGGACGCUAACUGUGCGUUUUUCUGAAUUUGAAGCCUCUGUUUUGGGUAUCACCAGUAAGGUCACUGAUGCCCUUGAACAAGAUGACUCAUUCGUCCUUACAGAUGGUCAAGGAAACAAAAUCCUAGAUUCCGAAGGAACCAGAGGUAUAGUGGAACAUGUUGUUUUUAGCAGUGAUCUUCAAAUCUUGUCUUGGAGGGCUGUGUCCAGCACAGUUUAGUGUCCAACACCUAGUUAACUUGCC
This 470-nucleotide long non-coding RNA is filed under the name Astyanax mexicanus (Mexican tetra). RNAcentral's name for it is "lncRNA (ENSAMXG00005001772.1)". The record is from RNAcentral. Lineage: Eukaryota; Metazoa; Chordata; Actinopteri; Characiformes; Acestrorhamphidae.